UGGGGAAUAUUGGACAAUGGGCGAAAGCCUGAUCCAGCCAUGCCGCGUGUGUGAAGAAGGUCUUCGGAUUGUAAAGCACUUUAAGUUGGGAGGAAGGGCAGUAAGCGAAUACCUUGCUGUUUUGACGUUACCGACAGAAUAAGCACCGGCUAACUCUGUGCCAGCAGCCGCGGUAAUACAGAGGGUGCAAGCGUUAAUCGGAAUUACUGGGCGUAAAGCGCGCGUAGGUGGUUCGUUAAGUUGAAUGUGAAAGCCCCGGGCUCAACCUGGGAACUGCAUCCAAAACUGGCGAGCUAGAGUAGGGCAGAGGGUGGUGGAAUUUCCUGUGUAGCGGUGAAAUGCGUAGAUAUAGGAAGGAACACCAGUGGCGAAGGCGACCACCUGGGUUCAUACUGACACUGAGGUGCGAAAGCGUGGGGAGCAAACAGG
Molecule: ribosomal RNA, 429 nt
Filed under: Pseudomonadota bacterium
Lineage: Bacteria; Pseudomonadati; Pseudomonadota
Description: Proteobacteria bacterium partial 16S ribosomal RNA
Rfam family: Bacterial small subunit ribosomal RNA
Source: RNAcentral